Molecule: RNA transcript, 2397 nt
Organism: Argentina anserina (silverweed cinquefoil)
Lineage: Eukaryota; Viridiplantae; Streptophyta; Magnoliopsida; Rosales; Rosaceae
Gene name: probable aldo-keto reductase 1
Exons: 9
Source: RefSeq, a predicted model, not a curated record
UCCUCUUCUCUCUCCCUCGGCAUUCUCUUUCUGUCUCCUCUGUUACAACUUACAAAACAGAGUAACACAGUGCCACCUUCUCCAGGUCGCACCGCCACCGUCCGGCGACGCCUCGCCACGAAACCACCACCACAGCGACCACCUCUCUCCCCUCUCUCUAAGCAUACUCGCAGAAGCGACGUUCAGCUCGAUUCCGGAAAGUCCAAGUUUGAGGCAGUGGGGACCUAUCACCGAUUUCCCGAGCUCCAGCAACUUUGUGGAGCUUCUCUUGCGUUGUGGCCGGCUAGAAGAAGAACCAGGAGCCUCGGUGUGGCAGCAGAACCGCUGACGCAUGAGAUCGGAGAUCGGAGGACGUGUUGUGGCGUGUCAGUCAACGUGUCGAAAAGUCAAAUUUUCUGAUACGCCACAUGACGUGUCCGAUACGAGAAAAAGACGUAUCGUAUCGGGGUGUCGGACACGCCGACACUCCACUCUUUGCCGUGUCCUUGCAACAUAGCUUAUUUGUUUGAAAUCUUCGGAGUUUGACAAUAGUUAUAGCACUAACGCUGCCACUGUUCCAGCUUCGGUUUUUUUCCAAGCCUAAUGUAGACUUGUCUCUGCUUAUUCUUCAGUUAAGCAGUGCCUCAGUUUCUGCCAUGGGCGUCUGAGUCUAUGCUAGUUGUGUAAGAGGGAAGACCAUCAUCUGUCUUUUAUGCUUGGGACUUGAAAGAAAAUGAUCACAUAUAUACAAGGUGGAUGAAGUUGGAGGCAAGAUUGUGAAAUGGUGUUUGAGAAAGAAAGUUGUCCUGGAAGAAGUGAUCAGUAAGUUGAUCGAUGUCAGAUUGGAAGCUUCUGGCGUUCGAUCCCAAUGAUGAAGAUAAUCAAGAUACACUGUAUGCUGUUGGUCGGCAUGACCUCCCGUUGCAGGCAGUGGGUCAACUUGAUUAAGCUCCUGCGUAAACCUAUUCAGGCUAAACAACAAAUUAACCUUAACUUGCAAUCCAAAUCUCGUCAAUGCUGGCUAGUUACGCCCUACUGAGAAAUACAUGGAAGGGUUUAUAUUUUCAGAUCAGACUCCGGUAUUCAACUUCUGGCAUCCACUUGAGCAUCAAGGCGCCAGUGGUUUAGUUGUAGAAUAGUACCCUGCCACGGUACAGACCGCGGUUCGAUUCCCUACUGAAGAAGAAUAUGGCUGAAGAGGAGGGGAUACCGCAGAUUCCAAGAGUUAAACUUGGAACUCAGGGAUUAGAGGUCUCAAAAAUGGGGUUUGGAUGCCUUGGCCUCACUGGGGUCUACAACUCUCCUGUUUCUGAUGAGGAUGGAAUCUCAAUAAUAGUAGCUGCUUUCAAUAAAGGAAUCACUUUCUUUGACACAGCUGAUGUAUAUGGACCUCAUACAAAUGAACUUCUUGUUGGCAAGGCAUUGAAGCAGUUGCCAAGAGAAAAAGUUCAACUAGCCACAAAAUUUGGUAUUGCUGGAAUAAUACAUCCUCCUAGUAUCAAAAUCACAGGUACCCCGGAAUAUGUCCGGUCAUGCUGUGAGGCUAGCUUGAAGCGUCUUGAUGUGGAAUACAUUGAUCUGUAUUAUCAACAUCGGGUGGAUACUACGGUGCCUAUAGAGGAAACUAUGGGUGAGCUGAAGAAGCUUGUGGAAGAAGAAAAGAUAAAGUACAUUGGUUUAUCUGAAGCUAGUCCAGACACAAUAAAAAGGGCGCAUGCAGUUCAUCCCAUCACGGCUCUACAAAUGGAGUGGUCACUCUGGACUCGUGACAUUGAAGAAGAGAUUAUUCCACUUUGUAGGGAGCUUGGCAUUGGAAUCGUUUCAUAUAGUCCUCUUGGGCGUGGGUUUUUCGGUGGCAAAGCAGUUGCUGAAACUGUCCCUUCAAAUAGUUUUGUGUCACUCUAUCCUCGGUUCGUGGGAGAGAACUUGGAGAAGAACAAGACUAUUUACUAUCAAUUGGAAAGCCUUGCUCAAAAGCACAAAUGUCUUACCUCUCAACUAGCAUUAGCAUGGGUUCUUCACCAGGGAGAUGAUGUUGUACCCAUCCCAGACAUAGAGAUGAGAAAAGGGCAUGUGCCGGCGGCAAAAGUGAAGGACUUUAUUGGCGAUGGAGAGGGGAGCUCACCAGAGUAGUCACUCAGUCGCAAAAGUAAUCUGGUAGUCUGGUACUCAAAGUUAGUCAACACACGUGAUCUCUUGUGUGGCAUUUUGCCCGACUUGGUCAACGUGCCAAACUUGCCAGGGGCUUGGUCAUGGAGUUUAUUGAUCCGGCAGCAAAAGGACAACACAGAUAAAGAACUUGAAUGCAAACAUUGGCUCCUUGAAGGUGAAACUUGAGGAAGAGGACUUGAAAGAAGUUACUGGUGCUGUACCACUAGACCAAGUUGCCGGUGGUAGAACUAAUGAAAACCUGAUGCA